Sphaerodactylus townsendi is the source of this 262-nucleotide long non-coding RNA. RefSeq lists it as uncharacterized. NCBI's taxonomy places the organism in Eukaryota, Metazoa, Chordata, Lepidosauria, Squamata, Sphaerodactylidae. The record is from RefSeq and is a predicted model, not a curated record. The transcript has 4 exons.
CUGAAGCUUUUGCAGGAUGGUGUGAAUCUCAGUUGUGAUAAUUAUAUCACACUUCUUAUAAAUGCAGAGUUUGCGCAAUAAAGAGGCAGAGGCAGUUGCUUACUGAAAAUAAAGUUUACUAACUAUAAAAGAAGGGAAUGGUAAACUUGGAUACAAAACAAGAAAAUACCUAACUGGCUAGCUCCAUUAGCUAGCUUCUGCUUGGCUAUCACAUGGCUAAUAAGCUACUGGAGAGCAUGUGCAGAGAGUGAACAAAGGAUAU